GGCGCCUCAAGACUUCACGCUCAAGUGGGGGCUGUACAGGGCGAGCAGGGUGCCAGCCGGCUUCAACCCGCUGUCCUGGUAGCUGAGGUGGCCGGGGGCUCUCAGCCGCAUCUCUCCCUCUGUCUUGCGGCGCUCUCUUUCGUGGCUGCUGGUUCCGAGUAAUUUGGCUAUAAUGGGCUGUUGGCAGCGGAGCACAGUUUAAAUCUCAGGACACUGGUCCGUUGCACAGGAACUAUUCUUUGUUGUCACUGCAGAGUGGUUCAUGUAUUUAUGGACCAGACCAUGGGAUGAACUUUUAUUUUUAAAAAGACAUUGUCAGUAGUCCUGAUCCAGUUUUCAAGCGGCGUUGACGAGUAUGCUGUACCUGUUUUUCGUCAUUCUGAAAGUUUAUUCAAGCACAGUUUCUACUUGAAAAUUCAAAUACUAGAGAAUAUUAGGAAGUGGCCUAAUGACAUACUCUAUUGAAGGACUACAGAUUCCACAGAGACUGCAUUUGAAUCUCAGUUACUCUCCAAUUAAAGUGGUUUUGAUUAACCUAAUUUUGAAGAAUUUUGUAUAAGCAACACCAAAAGAUGGAAGAAAAAAUUGGUGAUGCAAAGACUUUCUGGAUGGAGCUACAAGAUGAUGGUAAAGUUGACUUUAUGUUUGAGAAAGCACAAGAUGUCCUACAUUCACUGAAACAGAAGAUAAAAGAUGGGUCUGCCACAAAUGGAGACUAUGUCCAAGCAAUGGUUCUGGUAAACGAAGCAACUCUGAGUAACAGUCAGACACUGG
Molecule: long non-coding RNA, 774 nt
Filed under: Rattus norvegicus (Norway rat)
Lineage: Eukaryota; Metazoa; Chordata; Mammalia; Rodentia; Muridae
Description: long non-coding RNA NONRATT010965
Source: RNAcentral